CAGGGGCCUCGAGGGCUCGAAUACAAGUGCUCGAUCAUAGACGAGUCAGCGGAAGCAAUAAUAUCUGAGUACAGACAUAAGUUAAACAAGUUGCCAUAAGAUGGCUAGCACAAACUAGGAUACAGAUCGAAAGAGGCGCAUGCCUCCUGCCUGGGAUCCUCCUAACUACUACUGGUCGUCGUCAACAGCCUGCACGUAGUAGUAGGCACCUCCAGUGUAGUAGUCGUCGUCGACGGUGGCGUCUGGCUCCUGGACUCCAACGUCUGGUUGCGGCAUCUGAGAAGAAGAGGAAAACGGGGGAAAAGAGGGAGCAAAGCAACCGUGAGUACUCAUCCAAAGUACUCGCAAGCAAGGAUCUACACUACAUAUGCAUGGGUAUAUGUGUAAAGAGGCAAUAUCGGUGGACUGAACUGCAGAAUGCCAGAAUAAAAGCGGGAUAGCUAGUCUUAUCGAAGACUACGCUUCUGGCAGCCACGUCUGGCAGCAUGUAGAAGAGAGUAGAUUGAAGUCCUCCAAGUAGCAUCGCAUAGCAUAAUCCUACCGAGAUCCUCUCCUCGUCGCCCUGUGGCAAAGCGAUCACCGGGUUGUCUCUGGAACUUGUCUGGGUGUGUUUUAUUAAGUAUCCGGUUCUAGUUGUCAUAAGGUCAAGGUACAACUCCAAGUCGUCAUGUUACCGAAGAUCAUGGCUAUUCGAAUAGAUAAACUUCCAUGCAGGGGUGCACCACAUAACCCGACACGCCCGAUCCCAUUUGGCCAGACACACUUUCCUGGGUCAUGCCCGGCCUCGGAAGAUCAACACGUCGCAGCCCCACCUAGGCAUAACAGAGAGGUCAGCACGCCGGUCUAACUCCUAUGGCGCAGGGGUCUGGGGCCAUUGCCUAUUGCACAUCUGCACGUUGCGUGGGCGGCCGAAAGCAGACCUAGCCUCCCUAAUACAAGAGCAGAUGUUCCAGUCCAAUCCGGCGCGCCGCUCAGUCGCUGACGUCAAGAAGGCUUCGGCUGAUACCACGACGUCGAUUGCCCAUAACUGUUCCCGCGUAGUUGGUUAGUGCGUAUAGGCUAGUGACCAGACUCAGAUCAAAUACCAAGAUCUCGUUAAGCGUGUUAUUAUGAAGUAACCGCGAACGCCGACCAGGGCCAGGCCCACCACUCUCCUAGGUGGUCUCAACCUGCCCUGUCGCUCCGCCACAAAGUAACAGUCGGGGACCGUCAGGAACCCAGGCCCACCUCUACCGGGAUGGAGCCACCUGUCCUUCCAGACCCCACAUCGGAAUCACUUGCGGGUAGUCAACGAGCCAACUCGACUUUAGUCACCAUCUGUAUAGUAUGUAUAUAUGUAUAGUAUUUACCCGUGAUCACCUCCCGAGUGAUCACAGCCCAAUAGUAUAGCAAGGCAGACUGACAAGAAUGUAGGGCCAAUGAUGAUAAACUAGCAUCCUAUACUAAGGAUUUAGGAUUGCGGGUAAGGUAUCAACGACUGUAGCAACAAUGACAGGCUAUGCAACAGAAUAGGAGUAACCGAACAGUAACAUGCUACACUACUCUAAUGCAAGCAGUAUAGAGAAGAAUAGGCGAUAUCUGGUGAUCAAGGGGGGGGGGGCUUGCCUGGUUGCUUUGGAAAGGAGGGGUCGUUGUCGACGUAGUCAUACUCAGGGGC
RNAcentral lists this long non-coding RNA (1657 nucleotides) under Triticum aestivum (bread wheat). Its description in RNAcentral is "long non-coding RNA (TAES_LNC006979)". Lineage: Eukaryota; Viridiplantae; Streptophyta; Magnoliopsida; Poales; Poaceae. The record is from RNAcentral.